This 440-nucleotide ribosomal RNA is filed under the name uncultured bacterium. RNAcentral's name for it is "partial 16S ribosomal RNA". It matches the Rfam family "Bacterial small subunit ribosomal RNA", at positions 338 to 795 of the family's 1533-position model. The record is from RNAcentral.
CCUACGGGAGGCAGCAGUGGGGAAUAUUGCACAAUGGGGGCAACCCUGAUGCAGCGACGCCGCGUGAGUGAAGAAGUAAUUCGUUAUGUAAAGCUCUAUCAGCAGGGAAGAAAAUGACGGUACCUGAGUAAGAAGCCCCGGCUAACUACGUGCCAGCAGCCGCGGUAAUACGUAGGGGGCCAGCGUUAUCCGGAUUUACUGGGUGUAAAGGGAGCGUAGACGGCAGUGCAAGUCUGGAGUGAAAGGCAGGGGCUCAACCGCCGGACUGCACUGGAAACUGUACGGCUGGAGUGCAGGAGAGGUAAGUGGAAUUCCUAGUGUAGCGGUGAAAUGCGUAGAUAUUAGGAGGAACACCAGUGGCGAAGGCGGCUUACUGAACUGUAACUGACGUUGAGGCUCGAAAGCGUGGGGAGCAAACAGGAUUAGAUACCCUGGUAGUC